This 2079-nucleotide long non-coding RNA is filed under the name Macaca mulatta (Rhesus monkey). Its description in RNAcentral is "lncRNA (ENSMMUG00000059724.1)". Lineage: Eukaryota; Metazoa; Chordata; Mammalia; Primates; Cercopithecidae. The record is from RNAcentral.
GCUCCAGGAACACAGCUCCCGGAGCGAUUGUUUCAAAGUUGCUUGCUCGGAAGGGCCCUCCUGAGCAAACAACAGAGGGUGCCCAAAGUAAUAAUUGGAUUUAAUAGAAGGAGCUUACACGAAAGAAGAGCUGAACGCUGCUGUGGUCGUGUGCUGGGGGCCGCCCCAACUCCAACUGCAGGACCCCGGGCGUCCGCCUUCCGACUCCAGUGAUGAUUCUUCCUGCGGUCUGAUGGAGAUCCUACACAGUUAACUUUGUAUCCAAGGAUCUAUUGCCAAGAAAUUUGGAGCUCAGUUUCAAAUGUAAGUAUUCUGGGUCCAAAUUUUCUGCCCUUAAAAUAGCUGAAUUGUAUUUUAUUGGGAAAUAGAAAUAUAGAAUUCAAGAGUUAUUAAAUAUUAUAAAGUCUAACACUCUAAAUUAAUACACAAGGAGACAGAAAGUUUCAAUGACAAAUGCCGUACAUAAAACUGCUUCGUAUCAGAGGCAGAAAGAGAGCUCGCUUGUCCUACAGUUUAUGUAACACAGAGCUGUCCAGCUCAUUCUACGUAUGAAAUUGAUAUACAAUCAGGACAGAUUUCCCCUCCCAUAAAUUUUAUGCCACUUGAUUGUGUCUUUGUUAUUCGUUAGCAACAGUUUAUGUAAGAGAACAUUUUGGAGCCAAUUCAAAUCUGCUAUUAAUUAUUUCACUGAAUAUUAAGAAAAUUGAGAUUAUAGUAUUUAGCUAGGAGAUAUUAACAUGUCUUUUUUUUUUUUCUUGUUUUCUAAAUCAUAAAUACCCUCAUUUAAUCAUCUGCAUUUAAAAGGGGGAUUUGGACUAGAAACUAUAAUUGGAAGCCUGUGGCCCAGGAGAGCUUAGCCUAUUUAUUAAAAGUAUCACUGCGUAUUCAGAGUUAUAAAACUGAGUUCUAAGGAGGCCUAAUAUUCUGCAGCUGGGAGUGGAAGGGCAAAAGGUGAAUUGUAUUUUUUAAGCCUGUCACUCUGAAAACUCCCUGCUUCAAAACUCAAUGCAUUUCCAGGAUUGUCGACUUCACAGCAGCAGUGAAGCGGGAGAUGCAAAGGCAUCUUUGGAAGCAGCUACACGCAGAAGUGCUUAAUAUCUCCCCAGGCUUGUGAGAACUUGUUUGUCUGGCAGGUAUUUCCAAGCACUCUCUGUUCUUUGGACAAUGGAGUUGGCAAUCUGGAGAUUGUAACUUCAUAAUAGAGAGUCUUUAGGGAGAGAAGCUUCCAUUUAAAUUCAUUUAAAUGGAUAAGUAUUAGAUAACUUCCCUGAAAAAAUGUUAACAUAGUUAUUAAAUAUAUUCAAGUUCCAUUCCGAUCUCAUUCUCUGAACAAUUGAACUCUUUUUCACUGGGCAUUAUGCUGCAAUUUUACGGUAGGUUAAAUGAUAUCAAGUGCAUUGAAGUUAUUCUUAAAAUGCCUCUCAGUACUUCUUAUAUAGUACUAAAUGGUUAAUCAAUGAAUAAAAUUUCUGUUUUCCAGCCAUUUUUGAAAUAGCACAUGGCACAUAACUGAAAAAGCCCACGUGACUAACCUAUAUUCUGGGUACCAUUGUAUCACAAUUGAAUUCUGUUGUGAUUUUAGUCGAAGCCCUUAACUUCAUAAAUAUAUCACGAAAAGCCUGUAUCAAGAUCAUUGGUCAUUGCUGCUUGCGAGAAAUAGAAACACAGGUGAAGUAGAAAAAAAGGCCUGUUUAGUGAAAAUAAAGAAGACAAACACAAGACAAAAUUAUUUUAGAUUUAGCUGGGCUUUGUGGGGAAUUGAUUCAAUUGAGGAUUUAAAGGUCAGAAAAUGAAAUCAUUUAUGAAUUAAGAUGCUUAUAACCACACAAAUUAUAUGCCCAAGUACUAUGGCUAGAAUAAAUAAGAAUUUUUUAAUCUAACAUACCAACAAAUUUAAUGAUACUUCAGUUGUAUAUAUGUUAAUUCAAAACUUAACACAGUCACCCGAGACCAAGUCUUUUUUCCUGUUUCAGUCUACUAUCUUCAGUGUCUGGCCGUGGUCCUUUGGUUUAUCACCUCCUGGUUACAAGGCUGCUGUAGGGCCUGAACACCAUGUCUUUACUUAGCAUCGUCCAAAAA